This 938-nucleotide unclassified non-coding RNA is filed under the name Bactrocera latifrons. RNAcentral's name for it is "aDP-ribosylation factor-like protein 16, transcript variant X2". The record is from RNAcentral. Lineage: Eukaryota; Metazoa; Arthropoda; Insecta; Diptera; Tephritidae.
UUUAUUUCAAUUAGAAUUUGAUUUGCUUUUAUAAUGUAGUAGAAUAAUUACUGAUAAUUAAUUANUUUUAUUAAAUGAUUGCUUCUGACAACAGAGUAUUCAUGACGGUCUCCANAGCAACGGUUAUUUGACUUGCAUUUAUCGGUAGUUAAUAAAAGAACAAUUAAAGUUGAUAAGUACUGUUUAAGUGGUUAGAAAUAGCUUUAGUUCUUCGUGCGGCAAAAUGGAUGCAAGCUUUGUCAGUCAAAUGUCCUGCAUUUGUGUUGGGCCGAAACGUGCAGGAAAAACCCACCUUCUAAAGGCACUGGAGAAUCCGGACUGUAUUGAUGAGACAACCUAUUCAAUGCCAACAAAUGGCACAAAUAUUUUUACAAUCAAUCUUUCAACAAAGCUUCCAAAUGCUUCAAACCCAACUGAGAAAAAACAGACAGAUUUAAAUGAUGAAAAGACCAGCAACGAAGUCUCAGGCGCCACAGAGCUAAAGUGUAAGAGGGCCAAAGCUCCAUUAAAAUGCAUACGAGUUUUGGAAAUUGGUGGUGCGAUGGCACCACUCUGGCGACAAUAUUAUGAAAAAGUGUCAAAAAUAAUUUAUGUCGUUGACACUUCAAAUCUUUGUCAAAUUUCUGCAGCAGGGGUUCUGCUCUAUUCUAUAUUGGCCGACCCUCGAUUGCAGCGCUGUCGAAUUUUGUUAGUUUUAGCUAAGAUGGAUUACGCCUACCGGCANAUGCGCAAUGAAGCUUUACUUAUGCUACAAAUAUCCGUGAGAACUCUGUAUUUCGAUUCAGAAAUACAAUUUUAAGUAGAACUAGAAGUUCAGGCACAAAUUUUCAAGACCGUUCGAUUACUUUAUAAAAGCUUCAAAAGGAAAUUCGGCAACAGUUAACUAUUGUGGAGGCUAGCGCCGUCAGUCACGUGGGUUUCGAAGCUAUAUAUGCCUG